Molecule: transfer RNA, 93 nt
Filed under: Nitrospiraceae bacterium
Lineage: Bacteria; Pseudomonadati; Nitrospirota; Nitrospiria; Nitrospirales; Nitrospiraceae
Description: tRNA-Glu
Rfam family: tRNA (bases 21-90)
About the family: Transfer RNA (tRNA) molecules are approximately 80 nucleotides in length.
Source: RNAcentral
AUAUCCAAACCGUUGCCAGAGGCUCCGUUAAAAAUUAACCCGAAUGGCCCUCUCAAGGCUAAAACACGGGUUCGACUCCCGUUGGGACCACCA